AGGGAAUCUUCGGCAAUGGACGAAAGUCUGACCGAGCAACGCCGCGUGAGUGAAGAAGGUUUUCGGAUCGUAAAACUCUGUUGUUAGAGAAGAACAAGGAUGAGAGUAGAACGUUCAUCCCUUGACGGUAUCUAACCAGAAAGCCACGGCUAACUACGUGCCAGCAGCCGCGGUAAUACGUAGGUGGCAAGCGUUGUCCGGAUUUAUUGGGCGUAAAGCGAGCGCAGGCGGUUUCUUAAGUCUGAUGUGAAAGCCCCCGGCUCAACCGGGGAGGGUCAUUGGAAACUGGGAGACUUGAGUGCAGAAGAGAAGAGUGGAAUUCCAUGUGUAGCGGUGAAAUGCGUAGAUAUAUGGAGGAACACCAGUGGCGAAGGCGGCUCUCUGGUCUGUAACUGACGCUGAGGCUCGAAAGCGUGGGGAGCGAAC
Molecule: ribosomal RNA, 426 nt
Filed under: uncultured bacterium
Lineage: Bacteria
Description: bacterial SSU rRNA
Rfam family: Bacterial small subunit ribosomal RNA
Source: RNAcentral